CAAAGAUUAAGCCAUGCAUGUCUAAGUACAAGCCGAUUUAAGGCGAAACCGCGAAUGGCUCAUUAAAUCAGCUAUGAUUCAUUGGAUCUGUACCCACACUUACUUGGAUAACUGUGGUAAUUCUAGAGCUAAUACAUGCACCACGUCUCUGACCGCAAGGGAAGAGCGCUUUUAUUAGUUCAAAACCGGUCGGGCCUCGGUCCGUCACCCCACCGUGUUGAAUCUGAAUAACUUGUCGCUGAGCGCACGGUCUCCGCACCGGCGCCGCCUCUUUCAAGUGUCUGCCUUAUCAGCUUUCGAUUGUAGGUUAUACGCCUACAAUGGCUAUAACGGGUAACGGGGAAUCAGGGUUCGAUUCCGGAGAGGGAGCCUGAGAAACGGCUACCACAUCU
RNAcentral lists this ribosomal RNA (392 nucleotides) under Hemigrapsus sanguineus. RNAcentral's name for it is "SSU rRNA". It matches the Rfam family "Eukaryotic small subunit ribosomal RNA", at positions 38 to 417 of the family's 1831-position model. RNAcentral also lists the same sequence under 2 other names. The record is from RNAcentral. Lineage: Eukaryota; Metazoa; Arthropoda; Malacostraca; Decapoda; Varunidae.